UUGCAUUAGGCAAUGACCGGCAAAGGAAAGCCAACAUGUGUUAGCAAUGGAGAAAAAGAUUCACGGGAACAAUCCGGUAAAGAUAUAUCAAAAGGUACACUAGCGCAACGUGCCCGACGAGAAUGAGAACGUAUUUUUAAGCAAACCACUGAAAGGCGAUCGGAACAACACUCGCCGAUAAAUACAAGUAUUCAACCUCUCCGAGACGGGAAUAUUAGAGCCGAUGGGCGAGACCACCAUGCCGUACAUGUUCCCGAGG
Long non-coding RNA from Rhododendron vialii, 259 nucleotides. RefSeq lists it as uncharacterized. The transcript has 3 exons. Lineage: Eukaryota; Viridiplantae; Streptophyta; Magnoliopsida; Ericales; Ericaceae. The record is from RefSeq and is a predicted model, not a curated record.